This 779-nucleotide ribosomal RNA is filed under the name uncultured Neocallimastigales. RNAcentral describes it as "partial large subunit ribosomal RNA". It matches the Rfam family "Eukaryotic large subunit ribosomal RNA", at positions 26 to 643 of the family's 3401-position model. The record is from RNAcentral. Lineage: Eukaryota; Fungi; Neocallimastigomycota; Neocallimastigomycetes; Neocallimastigales.
CGUCUAUAUACGUAUAGCAUAUCAAUAAGCGGAGGAAAAGAAACUAACAAGGAUUCCCUUAGUAACGGCGAGUGAAGCGGGAAGAGCUCAAAUUUGAAAUCUUCAAGGGUUUCCCUUGACGAAUUGUAGUUUAAAGAAGUGUUUUCUGUUAGAGAGGUGGUAAAAGUUCUUUGGAAUAGGACAUCAUAGGAGGGUGAGAAUCCCGUAUUUGAUCACUUUCUACUAGCUGUUGUGAUACACUUUCAACGAGUCGGAUUGUUUGGGAAUGCAGUCCAAAAUGGGUGGUAAAUUUCAUCUAAAGCUAAAUAUUGGCGAGAGACCGAUAGCGAACAAGUACCGUGAGGGAAAGAUGAAAGGAACUUUGAAAAGAGAGUUAAACAGUACGUGAAAUUGUCAAAAGGGAAGCGUUUGACACCAGUGUUGUUUUUCCGAAAAUCAAUUAUGAAUGGUUUGAUUUUAGGAGUUCAUGACCUUCAUACGCUUGCUCCUUUCUUUAUGUACUUUCGUAAUGCACUUUUCGGUUAACAAGUCAACAUCAAUUUCUUUUGUUGUAAAAGGGUAAGAGGAAGGUGGCUUGCAGCUUCGGCUCGAAGUGUUUAUAGCCUUUUAUCCUCUGCAGUCGGAGAGAUUGAGGUCUGCAGCGUAGAUCCUUCGGGGUUAGAUACAUUUGUGCUAAGCUAUAGCCUUGUAUAGACAACUUGUUGACUAUGCUCAGUCAUGUAGCUUACUCGCUUAUGCUAUUUACCUACGCUUAGGAUGUUGACACACGCGCGUGCUCG